RNAcentral lists this small RNA (125 nucleotides) under Marmota monax (woodchuck). The record is from RNAcentral. Lineage: Eukaryota; Metazoa; Chordata; Mammalia; Rodentia; Sciuridae.
GCCAGGUGUGGUGGCGCAUGCCUGUAAUCCCAGUGGCUCAGGAGGUUGAGGCAGGAUGAUCAUGAGUUCAAAGCCAGUCUCAGCAAAAGCGAGGUGCUAAGCAACUCAGUGAGACCCUGUCUCUU